Acanthosepion pharaonis is the source of this 109-nucleotide non-coding RNA. Lineage: Eukaryota; Metazoa; Mollusca; Cephalopoda; Sepiida; Sepiidae. The record is from the annotation of a GenBank genome assembly.
UUAUGGCCAUAUCACGUUGAAACACCGAUUCAUCUACGAUCACUGAAGUUAAACAACGCCGAUCCUGGUCAGUACCUGUAUGGGUGACCGCUUCGGAAUACCAGGAGCU